AACGUCAUCACUCCCUCCAGGGCGCCGACUCUGCGCUCUGUCGCGCACGCGCACUAUGCCCUCAUGCCUUGCGCGAGGCGGCGGCUGUGCACCGCCAUCUUUGCCGGUGGCGGUAAGAACACGCUGUGUGCUAAGACCUGACGGCUAGCGCUGCUUUGGCUACUGCACGCCCCGCUGUAAGGGGCCCGCUGUCUCCAGAAGAACUGGAUAUUCUUUGUUACAAUUAUGGCAGACAAAUUAACAAGAAUUGCUAUUGUCAACCACGACAAAUGCAAACCUAAGAAAUGUCGACAGGAGUGCAAAAAGAGUUGCCCUGUGGUUCGGAUGGGAAAAUUGUGCAUAGAAGUUACACCCCAGAGCAAAAUAGCAUGGAUUUCUGAAACUCUCUGUAUUGGUUGUGGUAUUUGUAUUAAGAAAUGUCCCUUUGGCGCCUUAUCAAUUGUCAAUUUGCCAAGCAACUUGGAAAAAGAAACAACACAUCGCUACUGUGCCAAUGCCUUCAAGCUUCACAGGUUGCCUAUCCCUCGUCCAGGUGAAGUUUUGGGAUUAGUUGGAACUAAUGGUAUUGGAAAGUCAACUGCACUAAAAAUUUUAGCAGGAAAACAAAAGCCAAACCUUGGAAAGUAUGAUGAUCCACCUGAUUGGCAAGAGAUUUUGACUUAUUUCCGUGGAUCUGAAUUACAAAAUUACUUUACCAAGAUUCUCGAAGAUGACCUAAAAGCCAUUAUCAAACCUCAAUAUGUAGACCAAAUUCCCAAGGCUGCAAAGGGGACAGUGGGCUCUAUUCUGGACCGAAAAGAUGAAACAAAGACACAGGCAAUUGUAUGUCAGCAGCUUGAUUUAACUCACCUUAAAGAACGAAAUGUCGAAGAUCUUUCAGGAGGAGAGUUGCAGAGAUUUGCUUGUGCUGUCGUUUGCAUACAAAAGGCUGAUAUUUUUAUGUUUGAUGAACCUUCUAGUUACCUCGAUGUCAAGCAACGUUUAAAGGCUGCCAUUACGAUUCGAUCUCUAAUAAAUCCAGAUAGAUAUAUCAUUGUGGUGGAGCAUGAUCUAAGUGUAUUAGACUAUCUCUCUGACUUCAUCUGCUGUCUAUAUGGGGUACCGAGUGCUUAUGGUGUUGUCACGAUGCCUUUUAGUGUAAGAGAAGGCAUAAAUAUAUUUUUGGAUGGCUAUGUUCCAACAGAGAACCUGAGGUUCAGGGAUGCGUCGCUUGUUUUUAAGGUAGCUGAGACAGCAAAUGAAGAAGAAGUUAAAAAGAUGUGCAUGUAUAAAUAUCCCGGGAUGAAGAAAAAGAUGGGAGAGUUCGAGCUAGCAAUUGUAGCUGGAGAGUUCACGGACUCUGAGAUCAUGGUGAUGCUGGGGGAGAAUGGUACAGGUAAAACUACAUUUAUCAGAAUGCUUGCUGGAAGGCUUAAACCAGAUGAAGGAGGAGAAGUGCCAGUUCUAAAUGUCAGUUAUAAGCCACAGAAAAUCAGUCCCAAAUCAACAGGAAGUGUUCGCCAGUUACUGCAUGAAAAGAUCAGAGAUGCUUACACGCAUCCGCAGUUUGUGACUGAUGUAAUGAAGCCCCUACAGAUUGAAAACAUCAUUGACCAAGAGGUACAGACAUUGUCUGGUGGUGAACUUCAGCGAGUAGCUUUAGCUCUUUGUUUGGGCAAACCUGCUGACGUCUAUUUGAUUGAUGAACCUUCUGCAUAUUUGGAUUCUGAGCAAAGAUUAAUGGCAGCUCGGGUCGUCAAACGGUUUGCAAUUGUGUUCCAGUUUCAUUCUCCAUGCAAAGAAGACAGCUUUUGUUGUAGAACAUGACUUCAUCAUGGCCACCUAUCUAGCAGAUCGCGUCAUCGUUUUUGAUGGUGUUCCAUCAAAGAACACAGUUGCAAACAGUCCUCAGACUCUUUUGGCUGGCAUGAACAAAUUUUUGUCUCAGCUCGAAAUUACAUUCAGAAGAGACCCCAACAACUACAGGCCACGAAUAAAUAAGCUCAAUUCAAUCAAGGAUGUAGAACAAAAGAAGAGUGGAAACUACUUUUUCUUGGAUGAUUAGAUUGAGUCUGAACUUAUAAGCCAUUUACUUACUGGGAUUUUUAUCAUAUAAAACUUUAAUCAGGUUUUAUGGCCCCACAUACUCUGGAGCUUGAAGUAUGAUUUUCUUAAUGUGACAUCAAAAAGCCAGUUGUCUUGUAAAUUGUUGUUUAAGAACUAUUUUGUUCUUAAGAUUAAACCUCUGUGCAUACUACAUGAACAUGGAGACAUUUCAGAUUAUCAGUUACCUCCAGAUUUUCACAAUCUACGGGGAGAUUUUCAGUUGUAUAUUAUAUUCAUGUACCAAAUGCUUCCUGGUGUUGCCCAUCUUUAAAAUCUUGGAUAAAAUCUGUACUUACCUGUUUGCUAAGUGUACCAGUAUAACAGAACUGCCCCCUUCUAAAAAGCCAGUCACAGACUUGCUGCCAAAGUCUGAUACAUAAGCAUCAGGGCUAUAUUUGCUACUUGUGUUCAGUGUGUGCUUCCAAGGAACAGUGUCUGCUACAAACACCAUUGUUGGAAGAUGUUGAUGACCAACUUAUGCAUUGUUUUUAAUGAGUUUUUGGUGCUUUUGAACAUCUGUCAAAAUUUAUUUCAGUGCCCUAAUUUAACUUUUUUUUUUUAGUUCUUACAUUCUAUAACAACAUUCACAGUAAUGUUACUUUUAUAAAUAUAUAAUCACUGAUCAAGAUUAGGGAGGAGGCAUUUCUGAAGACUAUUUGCUUCCUGCAGAACUAUAGGCUUGGGCUGGGGAGAUGGUUCAGUCAGUAAGUACAAGCUGCACGCUCAUGAGGACCAUAUUUGAGACUUUAGUAGAAGUGAAGUCCAGCAGAUCCCUAAAGCCCACUGGCCUGCCAGCCUAACACAGUCUAUGAGCACAUUCAGUAGAAGGUCCUGUCUUAAAAGCUAAGUGGACAGUAAUUGAGGAAGACACUCUGGCACCAACACACACACACAAAACCCAACCGAUACAGUCUUUAUAGUUGGUGCCUAAGUAUCUGGAUUUUAGGGUUUCGGUUUUAAUUUUGUUUUGAGACAGCUUGUCGUCCUAUAGCCCAAGCUGGCCUCAAAUUAGGUAUCCAAGGACAACCUUGAAUUUCUCAGCCCACUACCUAGGCUUGGAUUACACAGUGCUGAGGAUCAAACCCAGGGCUUUGUGUGUGCUAGGCAAGCACUCUAACAACUGAGCUACAUCCCCAGCCCUACAUAUUUAGACUCCAGAGUCUUCUGUUGAGCAACCAAGGACAACCUAAAACAACUUCUCCAGUGAGUGCAGGGAAAUAGCAAUACAAAGUGUCCAUUGCUGCAGUGCAUACUCAUUUGUUGGAUACAAAGGACAUUAUCCACAUUUUACUAAUAUGCCAAACUGGAAUUAUGAGGAAGGUGGAUUACAAUGAACAGGGCAGGCAGAACAGGAAAAUUAGAAAGUAUUUGACAAGACUUUAGAACUUUAAAUAAUAGGUCUGAUUAAUUUGCAGACAAUGAUAGAAAGUUUGUUUUGACUGAUACCCAUUAGGCUUUCUAAAAAUGAAUUUAUAUAAUCCAUAAAUAUGUAUCUGUUGUAAAGGAACACAAAGUAUAUGGAAUAAAAUCUCCCUUUAUCAGUUUCUGAGCUUACCGGUGUGUGGUCAUUCUUUCCUUCACUAUGUACUUAAUCUUGUUAUGGGAAUAUACUAAAAUAUAUUUGUGAAUAUUACAGAUACAAAGUUCAUCCACCUUAAUGCUAAUGACAAUAUGUGAAUAAGAGUAUUUUUGUGCAAAUGAAAUUUGAAAAUACAAAAUCAGAUAUUAAACUUUUUUUGACUUCUUU
This is an RNA transcript of Mus musculus (house mouse), 3832 nucleotides long. It is a transcript of the gene named ATP-binding cassette, sub-family E member 1, with no coding region annotated. NCBI's taxonomy places the organism in Eukaryota, Metazoa, Chordata, Mammalia, Rodentia, Muridae. The record is from RefSeq and is marked validated. The transcript has 18 exons.